Small nucleolar RNA from Physeter macrocephalus (sperm whale), 145 nucleotides. Ensembl annotates it as small nucleolar RNA, H/ACA box 67. The record is from Ensembl. Lineage: Eukaryota; Metazoa; Chordata; Mammalia; Artiodactyla; Physeteridae.
AUCCAAGGUGAUUCCCUCUUCCAAGGGGCCUACUCUAGUGCCCCUCUUCAGGAAAGUAGCAACUUGGAAUAAAAUCUGGCACGCCUCAGGUUUCUGGGGAGAAGGGGAUGUUUGUUUCUUUGCCUUCCUUUGGCUGCCUACAUGU